ACGCCGAAGAGCACGCGUACCGGCUGUCCAUCUUCAAGGCCAACCUGCGCCGCGCGCGCCGGCACCAGCUGCUGGACCCGUCGGCGGAGCACGGCGUCACUAAGUUCUCCGACCUGACGCCGGCCGAGUUCCGCCGGACCUACCUCGGCCUCCGUAAGUCACGGCGCGCGCUCCUCAGAGAGCUCGGGAAGUCGGCGAACGAGGCGCCUGUGCUCCCCACCGAUGGCCUGCCCGACGACUUCGAUUGGAGGGACCACGGCGCCGUCACCCCUGUCAAGAACCAGGUCGGUUUCCACCGAAUCUGCAUGGAUCCACAGAUCGGGGCCGUUCUUUCAUGGUUUCCCGAUCUAUUUGGGUCUUUCCUCUAUCUAAAUGACUCCUCAAUUUCCU
Molecule: long non-coding RNA, 390 nt
Filed under: Sorghum bicolor (sorghum)
Lineage: Eukaryota; Viridiplantae; Streptophyta; Magnoliopsida; Poales; Poaceae
Description: long non-coding RNA (SBIC_LNC006909)
Source: RNAcentral